Sander lucioperca (pikeperch) is the source of this 403-nucleotide long non-coding RNA. RefSeq lists it as uncharacterized. Lineage: Eukaryota; Metazoa; Chordata; Actinopteri; Perciformes; Percidae. The record is from RefSeq and is a predicted model, not a curated record. The transcript is spliced from 3 exons.
GUUUGAUGCUAUUAUUAUCUGUUAGAUUAAGAAGAAGACAAACGCCUAUCUUACCGUGCUCAGGACUUUGUUGAAGUACAGGAAACUGACGGCAACCGCGGUGGUCUGCAGGAGGAUUGCUGCGAGCAGGAUGAGCCCCAGACUCUGGAGAGAUACAGAGACGGCCAUAAUCACAGCACAGCGUGAGUCAAUUCCCAGGCUCGUCAGAGAGAAGGAGAGGAGAAGGUGACUGAUAUCUGAAGACUAUCUGGCCUCGGGCAGGGAAGAUGACACCCUGAGAGACAUGCCUGUCUACAGUCCCAUGGCGAGAGAGAGACGGUCCAAUCAGCCGGUGACCUUUUGACCUCUGCAUACAUGUCCACACAUAGACUGUAUAUUAGUUAUUAUAUUAUUAUAAUAUAAU